RNAcentral lists this unclassified non-coding RNA (387 nucleotides) under fungal sp. Its description in RNAcentral is "partial internal transcribed spacer region". The stretch from base 1 to 46 matches the Rfam family "Eukaryotic small subunit ribosomal RNA", at positions 1786 to 1831 of the family's 1831-position model. Lineage: Eukaryota; Fungi. The record is from RNAcentral.
AAGUCGUAACAAGGUUUCCGUAGGUGAACCUGCGGAAGGAUCAUUAACACGUAUCCACGUACCCACCCUUCGUGCACUCGUUAUUUCUCCCUGUCGGUCUACAUGCAUUGGAACUCUGCAGCGCUGUGAUUGGGACCCGUCACACGGUCGGCACUGCGAGCACACGGAACGCGCCUUGUGCGCAUUCGACAAUGGUAGUAGAACGGCAGGCAACUAUUUCCACUAGGAGCGCCUCCAUCAUGGCGCGACCAGUGGAUGCAUAUUCACACAUUUCACCCCCUUUUUGCUAGUUGACUUUUUUAAUGUUGAGCUGCAUUCAUUUGCCACUCACACGUUUAAUUAAUUGAACGUAAAAUACAACUCUUAGCGAUGGAUAUCUAGGUUCUC